UGAAUACGAGAUGCUACGGCGUCGAAGCAGUCUAUGUCAUACUUCCAAGAAAAGCUCGCACUGUCAUAAACAAAUAAUGCCUGUACCAUAACCGACACAGGUGGGUAGGUAGAGUAUACUAAGGGGCGCGAGAUAACUCUCUCUAAGGAACUCGGCAAAAUGACUCCGUAACUUCGGGAGAAGGAGUGCCUUAUUUAUAAGGUUGCAAUAACAAGAUCCAAGCAACUGUUUAUCAAAAACACAGGUCUCCGCUAAGUCGUAAGACGAUGUAUGGGGGCUGACGCCUGCCCAGUGCCAGAAGGUUAAAGAAGUUGGUUAGCAUUCGCGAAGCUGAUAACUGAAGCCCUGGUGAACGGCGGCCGUAACAAUAACGGUCCUAAGGUAGCGAAAUUCCUUGUCGGGUAAGUUCCGACCCGCACGAAAGGCGUAACGAUUUGGAUACUGUCUCGGAGAGGGGCUCGGUGAAAUAGACUUGUCUGUGAAGAUGCGGACUACCUGCACCAGGACAGAAAGACCCUAUGAAGCUUUACUGUAACUUGAGAUUGAAAUUGGACUUUACUUGCGCAGUAUAGGUGGGAGGCGUUGAUAAUAUUCUUGCGGGAUUAUUUGAGCCAUCAGUGAGAUACCACUCUUGUAAUGUUAGAUUUCUAACUUUGUAUCAUUAUCUGGUCAAAGGACAGUUUCAGGCGGGCAGUUUGACUGGGGCGGUCGCCUCCUAAACGGUAACGGAGGCGCACAAAGGUUUCCUCUGAACGGGUAGAAAUCGUAUCUAGAGUGUAAAGGCAUAAGGAAGCUUGACUGUGAGACCUACAAGUCGAGCAGGGACGAAAGUCGGUCUUAGUGAUCUGACGGUGCUGAGUGGAAAGGCCGUCACUCAACGGAUAAAAGUUACUCUAGGAUAACAGGCUGAUCUCCCCCAAGAGUUCACAUCGACGGGGAGGUUUGGCACCUCGAUGUCGGCUCAUCGCAUCCUGGGGCGGUAGUACGUCCCAAGGGUUGGGCUGUUCGCCCAUGAAAGCGGUACGCGAGCUGGGUUCAGAACGUCGUGAGACAGUUCGGUCCAUAUCCGGUGUAGGCGUUAGAAUAUUGAGAGGAGCCUUCUUUAGUACGAGAGGACCGAGAAGGACAUACCUCUGGUGUACCAGUUAUCGUGCCAACGGUAAACGCUGGGUAGCUAUGUAUGGAGUGGAUAACCGCUGAAAGCAUCUAAGUGGGAAGCCCACCUCAAGAUAAG
Molecule: ribosomal RNA, 1234 nt
Filed under: metagenome
Description: bacterial LSU rRNA
Rfam family: Bacterial large subunit ribosomal RNA
Source: RNAcentral